UGGGCGCGUGCGAAGUUAGACAGAUCUACAACAAGCGUUGUCAAACCAAAUGAGAUGGCAAAUAACGAUUUUAAAGUUAGAAACUACGAUGAAGACUUCAAAUCAUGGAAAUGGAAGUAUUCCAUCAGCAAAGAGACGGACAAAUCAUCUUGUUUGGGACACAAACAUGUGAUAUCCGACGCUCGGGACACCUUUCAUUUCUGGGUGACAGAGCUGAGAUGUGGAAUCCCCAAGAUCUAGCUUGGACAAAGGACAGCCCCCAGAAAGAUGAAACAUGGCGAUAGAUGGGAGAAGACUAUUGGUACCAUCAAACCAUUAGGAUCUGGGCAAGUCAUUAUCAGUGUUGGUUCCUAAGUAAAUAUGCAACAAAGCUUUAACAUUCGUGGGCACUCAGUGCAAAUUGUGCAUCAGUGGCAACGAUGGAGGAGAACCAGUAUAUUUUGGUAGAUGUAUAUCACAGACGUAGAAAAAUAAAUAUCUGCUUUGUCCAUAGUGAUGAUGUAUUUUCUUACAGUAACUGUUAUUCUAUUUUCUGAAAAUAUGAUUGAAGACUA
Molecule: long non-coding RNA, 554 nt
Organism: Mizuhopecten yessoensis (Yesso scallop)
Lineage: Eukaryota; Metazoa; Mollusca; Bivalvia; Pectinida; Pectinidae
Exons: 4
Source: RefSeq, a predicted model, not a curated record